UUUUUUCUUUUUUUUUUUUUGAAAGGAAAACUAAAACAUAAGGGGAUGCAUUCUGAAAACAAAAUCAUUCUGAAUGUGCAUGACCUCCUGUAAAUGGCAAUGCCUGGUGUGUAAAGGAAGAGGAACUAUGUCUUUGGUAACAAACGAGGAACAAACUUGGUUCUCUGGUUAAUUUACAAGGUCGAUCGUUGGUGCUUUAUAAGGCAGCAUGUUAUUGAAACAUUAGAUCCCUGUUUUAUCAUUUUCACUUUUUUUUUCUUUUGGCUUCCGAUUUUAGUUCGGCAGCAUUGUGGACAAAUUUUUUUUUACCUGUCAUUGACAAAAAGCCACAAAAUGCAAUUCUGGUGUGCUAUUACUUUACUGUGUCACUGAAAAUUUAUUGGAUGUUUGUCAUAUCUGUUUCCUUUCCUUCCACAUUUUCCACCUCAUGGUUAUGUGUAUUAUGGGUUUUACAGAAAAUGUUAUAAAAGAAACUUAUGA
This 480-nucleotide unclassified non-coding RNA is filed under the name Hevea brasiliensis (rubber tree). The record is from RNAcentral. Lineage: Eukaryota; Viridiplantae; Streptophyta; Magnoliopsida; Malpighiales; Euphorbiaceae.